GAUGAAGAACGUAGUGAAAUGCGAUAAGUAAUGUGAAUUGCAGAAUUCAGUGAAUCAUCGAAUCUUUGAACGCACAUUGCGCCCCUUGGUAUUCCGAGGGGCAUGCCUGUUCGAGCGUCAUUAUAACCCCUCAAGCUCAGCUUGGUGUUGGGGGCUGCUGCACUGGCAGCCCUUAAAAUCAGUGGCGGCGCCAUCUGGCUCUAAGCGUAGUAAUUCUUCUCGCUAUGGAGUCCUGGUGGAUGCUUGCCAUCAACCCCCAAUUUUUCUAUGGUUGACCUCGGAUCAGGUAGGGAUACCCGCUGAACUUAAGCAUAUCAAUAAGCGGAGGA
RNAcentral lists this unclassified non-coding RNA (329 nucleotides) under soil metagenome. RNAcentral's name for it is "partial contains 5.8S ribosomal RNA, internal transcribed spacer 2, and large subunit ribosomal RNA". The stretch from base 1 to 120 matches the Rfam family "5.8S ribosomal RNA", at positions 35 to 154 of the family's 154-position model. The record is from RNAcentral.